Molecule: long non-coding RNA, 1013 nt
Organism: Gadus macrocephalus (Pacific cod)
Lineage: Eukaryota; Metazoa; Chordata; Actinopteri; Gadiformes; Gadidae
Exons: 2
Source: RefSeq, a predicted model, not a curated record
UCGUUGGAGAGGAAUCGUUUUUGGAUUAGAAAUCAACUCUUAAUGUUAGUGGGGGAUUGCGUUAGUAUAACAGGAUAUUGGUUAUGAAAAGGAUAGCAGCUAUAUCAGAGUUACACUUCAAAUUUCACUCUCAUAUCCACUUCACAUUCCCUCCCAUGUUGAUUGAUAGACACGCCCUAUUCCCUGAGUACCCACUCAAGUCAGGAGGAUCUGUUCCUCUGAUGUGGUUCUACAUGCAGCUGAGGCAGAAGCUGUUCUCCUUUCUCAUGCAGACCUUUGCUAAGACCAGCAGAAGAUGAGAUGGUGCUCAUUAACCCACAUGGCUUCUUCAGGGGGUUCAAACCCAGAGUCUCUGGUUCCCCAUUAGCCUUAACCAUCCACCGUCUUUAAUAUGGCUUUAUCCAUGCGCUACAGUUGGUCUUCAUAAGUUAUUUGUUAGUUUCAUGAGUUCAUUUGUCCUUACAAUUUGUAGACAAAACCUUUUUGUGGUCGUUUCAUAAGAAGAAAUUCUCAACUUCCAAUGAUUGUCUUUACAAGUGUAAGAUUGUUUAAAUGUUCUUUUAAGCGCUGUUGUACUGAACCUGAUGGCUGCUGGGUUUAGAUUUAAUAUAAUAAAGUGCUGGGAUUAGAUCCAAUAUAUUGCUGGGUUUAGCUCUGAUAUUAUACUGCCGGGUUUCAAUGUUAUUUUAUAGUGCUGGGUUUAGAUAUUAUAUUAUAGCGCUGGGUUUAGAUGUUAAGUUAUAAUGCUGGGUUCAGAUGAUAUACUAUAGCGGUGCGUUUAGAUGUUAUAUUAUAGCGCUAUGGUUUAUAUAUAAUAUAAUAGUGCUGGUUUUAGAAGUCAUAUUAUAUUAUAGUGCUGGGUUUAUAUAUAUAUAUAUAUUGUUCUGGGUUUAGAUGUCUAUGGAAAGCACUGGAACAUUUGAGACCCAAAUGGUUUGCAUGUGGGCGCUACUUGACAUUGCUACAGGUGAUUUUUCCUACUGUUUUAAACUGAAUAAAAUGAAGUUUCUCCA